This 29-nucleotide non-coding RNA is filed under the name Rattus norvegicus (Norway rat). Lineage: Eukaryota; Metazoa; Chordata; Mammalia; Rodentia; Muridae. The record is from RNAcentral.
UCACAUUAAGAACAUUUCUAAUGCUGCCU